GAUGAACGCUAGCGGCAGGCCUAAUACAUGCAAGUCGAACGGGAUCCCGAUCAAAGCUUGCUUUGGUUUGGUGAGAGUGGCGCACGGGUGCGUAACGCGUGAGCAACCUACCCUUGUCAGGGGGAUAGCCCGGCGAAAGUCGGAUUAAUACCGCAUGACAUCAUUGAGAGGCAUCUUUCGAUGAUCAAAGAUUUAUCGGACAAGGAUGGGCUCGCGUGACAUUAGCUAGUUGGUAAGGUAACGGCUUACCAAGGCUACGAUGUCUAGGGGCUCUGAGAGGAGAAUCCCCCACACUGGUACUGAGACACGGACCAGACUCCUACGGGAGGCAGCAGUAAGGAAUAUUGGUCAAUGGACGGAAGUCUGAACCAGCCAUGCCGCGUGCAGGAAGACGGCCCUAUGGGUUGUAAACUGCUUUUAUACGGGAACAAACGUCGGUACGUGUACCGGUCUGAGUGUACCGUAAGAAUAAGGAUCGGCUAACUCCGUGC
Molecule: ribosomal RNA, 491 nt
Filed under: uncultured bacterium
Lineage: Bacteria
Description: partial 16S ribosomal RNA
Rfam family: Bacterial small subunit ribosomal RNA
Source: RNAcentral